RNAcentral lists this long non-coding RNA (1026 nucleotides) under Phasianus colchicus (ring-necked pheasant). RNAcentral's name for it is "lncRNA (ENSPCLG00000011980.1)". The record is from RNAcentral. Lineage: Eukaryota; Metazoa; Chordata; Aves; Galliformes; Phasianidae.
UGCUUUGAAAAGGACAUGUGAGCAGAAUCUGGAACACUCUGGUUGUGUUUCUCAUGACAUCAAGAAGGCAGUGUGAUCUCUAUAUGUAAGAUUGAUGCGUGUUUGAGCAACAAGAACACAACUACACCUGCCUUUUAUGAGCCAUCAGCAGCUGACUUUGUCCAGGUGAUCCUUGUGACUUUUUUCUCAUCAGGGUCUAAUUUCAGCCAAGCAGCACCUAGCAGCUCCACCAUAGAUCAAGAUUCUCUGCUGUUCCCUAUAUUUCAUGGUGUCAGGACAAUGACAGCCACAGUCCGCAGAGCUGUCACUGGAGCUGCUGCUGUCAGCCUGCAUUCUGCAGGGUUGUGCUCUGCCUUAAAUUAACAUUACGUUCUGGUGGUGCCCAGCACUCAGAAUUUUCCUGUUAUCUAAGUGAUCUCUGCAUGCUUUUUUUUUACCUCAUCCAUCAUGCUGUCACUGCACCGCUUUCACUUCUGCCAUUAAACCAUAUUUGCUUUACUCUGUGGUUUGUUUGUUUAUUUUAAACAUGGGAUUUCUUUUGUCAUGUUCUUUUUCUUUCUUUUUCUGUAGUAAUUCAGUUGCUUCUUGAGAUCCACAGCUUAAAAAAAAAAAAUUAAUCCCUGUAACUUAGGUUAGAAUCAUAGAAUAGAAUCAUCGAAUCCUGAGAGUUGGAAGGGACCUCUGAAGGCCAUCUAGUCCAACUCCCCUGCAAUGAACAUGGGCAUCCAUGAAUCAGGUUGUGCAGAGCCUGGCCUUGAAAGUUUCUAAGGAUGGAGCAUCCAUCACACCUCUGAGCAACCUGUUCCACUGCCUCACCACUCUCACUGUAAGAGACUUUUUCCUUAUAUCCAACCUAAAUCUACCCUUUUUAAACUUGUAAUCAUUUGUAUUAGUUCCAUCAACACAGUCCUUGCAAAGGGUCCGUCCCCUUCUUUCCUGUACCUUCUUUCCUGUAGCUUCCUUUUAGAUGUUGAAAGGUGCUACCAGAUCACCUCGGAGACUUCUUGUCUCCAGGCUGCACAGCCC